AAGUCGUAACAAGGUCUCUGUUAGUAAACUAGCGGAGAGAUCAUUACAGAGUUGCACAACUCGCUAAACCAUUGUAAACCCUACCUCCCUGUUGCUUCGGUGGGAGGUACCCUCGUCGCCUUAUAAUAGGCUGCUCAUAGGGUGCCCCUAGGCCCCGCGUAGGCGCCUGCUGGAAUAAUUUUAGAAUCUCUUGACAGUAUAUAGCUUCUCUAAGUCUUACUAAAUAAGUCAAAACUUUUAACAACGGAUCUCUUGGUUCUA
This 261-nucleotide unclassified non-coding RNA is filed under the name fungal sp. Its description in RNAcentral is "partial internal transcribed spacer region". The record is from RNAcentral. Lineage: Eukaryota; Fungi.